UACGUAGGGUGCAAGCGUUAAUCGGAAUUACUGGGCGUAAAGCGUGCGCAGGCGGUUAUGUAAGACAGGUGUGAAAUCCCAGGGCUCAACCUUGGAACUGCAUUUGUGACUGCAUAGCUAGAGUGCGGUAGAGGGGGAUGGAAUUCCGCGUGUAGCAGUGAAAUGCGUAGAUAUGCGGAGGAACACCGAUGGCGAAGGCAAUCCCCUGGACCUGUACUGACGCUCAUGCACGAAAGCGUGGGGAGCAAACAGG
RNAcentral lists this ribosomal RNA (253 nucleotides) under uncultured bacterium. RNAcentral's name for it is "partial 16S ribosomal RNA". It matches the Rfam family "Bacterial small subunit ribosomal RNA", at positions 524 to 776 of the family's 1533-position model. The record is from RNAcentral.